RNAcentral lists this ribosomal RNA (211 nucleotides) under uncultured Staphylococcus sp. Its description in RNAcentral is "partial 16S ribosomal RNA". It matches the Rfam family "Bacterial small subunit ribosomal RNA", at positions 150 to 356 of the family's 1533-position model. Lineage: Bacteria; Bacillati; Bacillota; Bacilli; Caryophanales; Staphylococcaceae. The record is from RNAcentral.
CGGGAAACCGGAGCUAAUACCGGAUAAUAUAUGAACCGCAUGGUUCAAUAGUGAAAGACGGUUUUGCUGUCACUUAUAGAUGGAUCCGCGCCGCAUUAGCUAGUUGGUAAGGUAACGGCUUACCAAGGCAACGAUGCGUAGCCGACCUGAGAGGGUGAUCGGCCACACUGGAACUGAGACACGGUCCAGACUCCUACGGGAGGCAGCAGCG